This is a long non-coding RNA of Syzygium oleosum, 1734 nucleotides long. RefSeq lists it as uncharacterized. The transcript is spliced from 2 exons. The record is from RefSeq and is a predicted model, not a curated record. Lineage: Eukaryota; Viridiplantae; Streptophyta; Magnoliopsida; Myrtales; Myrtaceae.
UCAAGAUUCGUUGAUGGAACCCAGAUGGAGAUGGAGAUGGAGAGAGCCAAGCUCGAGAACGAGCGGAAGAGGGCUGGAGAACGAGAGAAUGGUGCUUCUCAUCAGCCAGAAGGAGCUCCAAUUACUCGCUCUUCAACAGCAGCAGCAGCAACAUUCAUCCAACAAAAGGAGGAGCGGCGGCGGCGAUGAGGGUUGAAAGGAAAAACUCCGGAUCACGCAAUGCCUUCGCCCCCAAAUUCAAAAAUUGUUUCGAUUGUGUCUUUCGUCUGACCUCCGUGAUUGGGCCGACGUCCGGUGGCGCUGGCGGCGUGCGACCGGACCGGACGGCGGUUCUGCCACCAGGAAGAAAGCUCCGACCACCAACCCAACCAUGGCCGAUUCGAUUCGAAGGUGGAGACGCUGUGUGACUUGCUCGAUGGAGGUUUGAUAGCUUUGGACCCUAUUCUUACAAAAAGUUCGAGUCUUUCAACAUGGGCAUUGGGAAUUUGUCUGAUACCAGUGGAUACCUUUAAGCUUUUACUUCUAUUUCAACGACUGAAAAAAGGGCAUUAGCAAUCACGGUAUUUUCACUUUUUGUCUCGGUUAGUUCUCUGUUAUUGGGAUAUGCUUGGAGUUUUCCCUUUGUUCAAUACCUUUCUCUCUGCUUGGAUGCUUUUUCGUGUUUGAUAUAUCUAGGAGACUCAGGUGAUUUGUGUAGUUCCCUUCCUUUCCAUUCAGAUGUAAGUUCUUUGGCUGCACUUGAUGAUUGCGUGUAAGUUGACUUUGAGAAUUUAAAUUAGCUUGUGAAAAAGAUUCAUUAGCCUACUGUUGUUUGCACUUUUCAGCUAGAUCGAGAGUUAGAAUUCUAUAACUAAGACAGGCCAACGCAAGUUGGUUCUUUCUUGACACACAGAUCACCAACCACCAACCAAGAUAACUCAUGUUGGAUCAGUGAGAUGAGGUAUCGAAUGUUAAAGCUACUGCUAGAUUGUGUUUCCUGAGUAUAAAAUGCAGGUACCCGUGUAGUCUGCCUUCUGGUUUUUGGAGUGCUUUUGGUCUGGACUUUAUGCAGGAACAUUCACCAUAGUUUGGAUCCCUGACCUACAUAAUGCAAUACAAAGGGGAAACUGAUGUUUUGUUGCUAGCUAAACGUCUCUAAACCCUCAUCAUCAUAUUGAAAGCUAAUUUAUCAAUUCCCUAUGAUUGGCCACCAUUGUUCAAUUUUUUUAAAAGAUUUUUAAUCCUUGUACAGAUCUUCUGUCCAUCUUACUCUAAUAUUUGGUUCCAGUCCAUUCAUCAGUGAUUUUUCUAAUAUAUCUUGCCUCAUGCCGUCACAAUAUUCUAAAUCUCCUCUUUAAUACCUGUCUUUUUCUUUUUUUGUUUUAUCUCUGACUUUAUUGGGCAGCAAUCUGUUUUUAGAUAGAAGAUGGCAACCCCAGAUGAAAACAACGAUGUGAAAACUCUUGAAACACAGCCCAACAAGCGGAGCAAAAAGAAGUCCAUCAUCUGGGAACACUUCACAAUAGAAAUUGUGAGUCCUGGAUGUAGAAGGGCGUGCUGUAAGCAGUGCAAGCAAGUUUCACUUAUGGCACAGGCUCAAAGGCCGCUAGCACCAGCCAGCAAAGUAAGGUGUGAUGAAUCAUUGACCGAACUGAUUUUGUCUAGUGCAGAAAUUUCAGAAUUACCUAAAUCCAUUAGGGAUUUGAAAAAAUUGAAAUUUUGAAUAUUGUUUACUGCAAGAAAUUGAGUAGUUUA